Molecule: ribosomal RNA, 508 nt
Filed under: uncultured bacterium
Lineage: Bacteria
Description: bacterial SSU rRNA
Rfam family: Bacterial small subunit ribosomal RNA
Source: RNAcentral
GGUUCAGGAUGAACGCUAGCUACAGGCUUAACACAUGCAAGUCGAGGGGCAGCAUGAUCAAAGCUUGCUUUGAUUGAUGGCGACCGGCGCACGGGUGAGUAACGCGUAUCCAACCUUCCCUAUAGUAGUGGAUAGCCCGGCGAAAGUCGGAUUAAUACACUAUGUUAUUCAACGAGGACAUCUGAAAUGAAUCAAAGGCUUGCCGCUAUAGGAUGGGGAUGCGUCUGAUUAGAUAGUAGGCGGGGUAACGGCCCACCUAGUCGACGAUCAGUAGGGGUUCUGAGAGGAAGGUCCCCCACAUUGGAACUGAGACACGGUCCAAACUCCUACGGGAGGCAGCAGUGAGGAAUAUUGGUCAAUGGACGGGAGUCUGAACCAGCCAAGUAGCGUGCAGGAUGACGGCCCUAUGGGUUGUAAACUGCUUUUAUACGGGGAUAAAGUGAGCCACGUGUGGCUUUUUGUAGGUACCGUAUGAACAAGGACCGGCUAAUUCCGUGCCAGCAGCCGC